GUUUUCUGACCUCGUUGGAUACUUGUGAGUUCCAUAUAUAUCUGGAGUGACAACUCGAGUCCAAAGAGUGAAGCCAAAAAUGGAUCUAUUGGACGUCAGUUUCAGUCCCUUUCUGUUGUUUUUGUCCGCGCGGUCUGCAAGGAAUUUGCUGAAAUUUCAUGUUUUGAUUUCGAUUUAAAGAACGAUACUAUGGUUUUAUAAAAUUAUAACUUGAUUGCGAUAUGGUCCGUUAGGGAAAUGGUAUGGUAUUAAAACUGUUUAUACGAUCUCCAUAGCUAUUGGAAUGAUAGAACAUCAAUUCCGCCACCUUGUCUUUUCCGCUCUAAAAAACUCCUAGUGAAAAUAUCAGUAUGGUCUCUUUUUAUGCAUGAAACGUUCACACAUGGACUAUUUUUCGCGCGUGUCAGGAUGGCAAACGUUUUCGUGCGUGUUACUUUUCGCUCAGUUUUAUUUUCGUGCAAAUGCUACUACCACGCGAGUUUAAGUACAAGUAGGGUAUAUCAAAAUAUAAUUUCAUUUAACACAUUCUACGCGAACAGAGCAAGAUAGAGGAAGUAAUUGAACUAAUAAUUUAUUUUAAAAACAAUUUAAUCUAAUAGUGAGAACGGAAAUUUUUUCCAGUAGUUUAAUUUAAACUAUAACAUUCGUUCAUAUUGUUAUUAUAUUCCUAAUAUUUUUAUAUUACUAAAUUAAUAUUAUUUUGAUAUUACUAAAUUAACAUUAUUUCAUAUUAUUUUGACGACAAAGUGAAAAUCAAUUUUGGGUGUUUAAAAUUUAUCAUGUGAUUCUUCACCGCAUAUAUUUGGGAAUUGUUAUAAAAUAUAUAUAUAUAUUUCGUGUAUAUAGCAUAUUUUUAUUAACUUAAUUUACAUCAUGUAAUAUACAAACAUAAAUACACAUCAGAUGGUUCUAGAAAUUUAUUUAAAAAACAAAAAUGUAAAAUGAUCUUGUAAUUAGAAGAAAAUGAAAUGAACCUUGUAUAUUAAUGUCUUUGUUGUGUCAACACGUGAAACCCGGAGGAGGGGGCAGCACCGAGAUUACAGGACUGCAGGGGCCAGUUGUU
Molecule: non-coding RNA, 1063 nt
Organism: Paramuricea clavata
Lineage: Eukaryota; Metazoa; Cnidaria; Anthozoa; Malacalcyonacea; Plexauridae
Source: the annotation of a GenBank genome assembly